CCUAGUUCGAGCUCUGGCCUGCUAAGAAAGAAUUCUAGUAUGAAUGUGAAGAUCAAUAGAGCUUUGAAACUCAGAUUAGAGCAGACCAUAGGAGAAGCAGGGGUCAUUGUCGCUGACUGGAUUUAGUACACAGGGAAUGUGUAACCCAGGGUUAUGUUUUAAAAACCAUUCAAUCAGUGGCAUUACUAAUGGUAAUUUUCAUGCACGUCCGUGUGAAGAGACCACCAAACAGGCUUUGUGUGAGCAACAUGGCUGUUUAUUUCACCUGGGUGCAGGCGGGCUGAGUCCAAAAAGAGAGUCAGUGAAGGGAGAUAGGGGUGAGGCCAUUUUAUAGGAUUUGGGAAGGUAAUGGAAAACUACAGUCAAAGGGGGUUGUUCUCUGGUGGGCAGGGGCGGGGGUCACAAGGUGCUCAGUGUGGGAGCUUCUGAGCCAGGAGAAGGAAAUUCACAGGGUUAAUCACUCAGUUAAGGUGGGGCAGGAACAAAUCACAAUGGUGGAAUGUCAUCAGUUAAGGCGGGGCAGGGCCUUUUCAUUUCUUUUGUGAUUCUUCAGUUACUUCAGGCCAUCUGGGCAUAUAUACGUGCAAGUCACAGGGGAUGCAAUGGCUUGGCUUGGGCUCAGAGGCCUGACAUUCCUGCCUUCUUAUAUUAAUAAGAAAAAUAAAACAAAAUAGUGUUGAAGUGGUGGGGCGCCGAAAAUUUCUGGGGGAUGGUAUGGAGAGAGAAUGGACGAUGUUUCUCAGGGCUGCUUCAAGCGGGAUUAGGGGCAGCGUGGGAACCUAGAGUGGGAGAGAUUAAGCUGAAGGAAGAUUUUGUGGUAAGGGGCGAUAUUGUGGGGUUGUUAGAAGAAACAUUUGUCAUUUAGAAUUAUUGGUGAUGGCCUGGAUAUGGUUUUGUAUGAAUUGAAAAACUAAAUGGAAUAAGAGAAGGAGAAAAACAGGUAUAAAAGGUCUAAGAAUUGGGAGGACCUAGAACAUCUGAUUAGAGAGUGCCUAAGGAGAUUCAGCAUAGUCCUGCCAGCAAAGAUUAUGUAUUUACUUCAAGAGUUAAGAGUGGCAGUUUGGGGAUAGCACCAGGAGAUAUCAGCUGUGAUGGCUUGGAGAAACAGUGUAAACCGGCAGUGUAAACAAGAGCAGGGCAUGUAUGAGUAGUUGAGAAUGGAGAAUAGGAGUAUGAAUAGACAGAAAAUAGUAGGGAUGACAAGUUUUUUUGGGGGGCAUAGUCUAAGUUGGUCUGGUGUCUGGAAUGAGACUGGGGCCUAAUAAAAAGGAGCUCAAAUAGGCUGUACCCUGUAGCAUUCUGAGGACAGGUCUGACUUCUGAGAAGGGAAAGUGGUAAAAGUAUUGUCCAGUCCUUUUUAAGUUGGUGGCUGAGCUUGGUGAGGUGUGUUUUUGAAAGACCUUUAGUCCAUUCUACUUUUCCUGAAGAUGGAGGACCAUAAGGGAUAUAAAGGCUUCACUGAAUACUAACAGCCUGAAAAACUGCUUGGCUGAUUUGACUAAUAAAGGCUGGUCUGUUAUCAGACUGUAUAGAGGUGGGAAGGCUAAACUGAGGAAUUAUGUCUGACAGAAGGGAAGAAAUGACUGAGGUGGCCUUCUCAGACCCUGUAGGAAAGGCCUUUACUUAUUCAAUGAAAGUGUCUAUUUAGACUAAGAGGUAUUUUAGUUUCCUGACUCGGGGCAUGUUGAGUAAAGCUAAUUUGCCAGUCCUGGGUGGGGGCAAAUCCUCGAGCUUGAUGUGUAGGGAAGGGAGGGGGCCAGAAUAAUCCAUGAGGAGUAGUAGAAUAGCAGAUGGAACACUGAGAAGUUAUUUCCUUGAGGAUAGAUUUCUACGAUGGAAAGGAAACGAAAGGUUCUAAGAGGUGGGCUAGUGGCUCGUACUAUAGCAUAACCUGCCUUUGCUGUUGUGUGGCGAUUAGGCCUGGUGGAAAUGCCAUCAAUAAAUCAAGCGUGAUCAGGGUGAGGAACAGGAAAGAAGGAAAUAUGGGGAAAUGGGGUGAAUAUCAGGUGGAUCAGAGAGAUACAGUCAUGGGUGUCAGGUGUGGUAUCAGGAAUAAUGUGGGAGGCUGGAUUGAAGUCCAGGCCAGGAACAAUGGUAAUUGUGGGACUUAACAAAGAGUGAGUACAGCAGAAAGUAUAUGCGUCAGGUAUGAGGAAGAAAAUAGAUUUUGGAAGUUAUGAGAACUGUACAGAGUGAGUUGAGCAUAGUUUGUGAUUUUGAGGGCUUCUAAAAGUAUUAAAGCAGUGGCAGCCACUGCACGCAGACGUGAGGGCUAGGCUAAAACAGUAAGGUCAAGUUGUUUGGAAAGAAAGGCUACAGGGUGUGGUCCUGGCUCUUGUGUAAGAAUUCUGACCACACUAACUAUGCCUAGGAAGGAAAGGAGUUGUUUUGUAAGGGAUUGAGGUUUGGGAGAUUAAUCAGACACGAUCAGCAGGGAGAGCACGUGUGUUUUUAUGAGAAUUAUGCUGAGAUAGGUAACAGAUGAGGAUGAAAUUUGGGCUUGACUGAAGUAAUGGGGGCUGUCUGUGAAGCUUUGCAGCAGUACAGCCCAGGUAAUUUGCUGAGCCUAAUGGGUGUCAGGGUCAGUCCAAGUGAAAGCGAAGAGAGGCUGGGAUGAGGGGUGCAAAGGAAUAGUAAAGAAACCAUGUUUGAGAUCUAGAACAGAAUAACAGGUUGUGGAGGGAGGUAUUGAGGAUAGGAGAGUAUAUGGGUUUGGCACCACUGGGUGGAUAGGCAAAACAAUUUGGUUGAUAAGGCAUAGAUCCUGAACUAACUUAUAAGGCUUGUCUGGUUUUAGGACAGGUAAAAUGGGGGAAUUGUAAGGAGAGUUUAUAGGCUUUAAAAGGCCAUGCUGUAGCAGGUGAGUGAUAACAGGCUUUAAUCCUUUUAAAGCGUGCUGUUAGAUGGGAUCUUGACAUUGAGUGGGGUAAGGGUGAUUAGGUUUUAAUGAGAUGGUAAGGGGUGCAUGAUCGGUCACCAAGGAGGGAGUAGAGGUAUCUUAUACUUGUGGGUUAAGGUGGGGAGAUACAAAGGGAGGAUGCAAAGGAGGCUUUGGAUUGGGAAGAAGGCAGCAAUGAGAUGCAGCUGUAGUCCAGGAAUAGUCAGGGAAGCAGAUAAUUUGGUUAAAAUAUCUUGGCCUAAUAAGGGAACUGGGCAGGUGGGGAUAACUAAAAAAGAGUGCUUAAAAGAGUAUUGUCUAAGUUGGCACCAGAGUUGGGGAGUUUUAAGAGGUUUAGAAGCCUGGCCGUCAAUACCCACAACAGUUAUGGAGGCAAGGGAAACAGGCCCUUGAAAAUAAGGUAAUGUGGAGUGGGUAGCCUCCAUAUUGAUUAAGAAGAGAACGGACUUACCCUCCACUGUGAGAGUUACCUAAGCUCAGCGUCCGUGAUGGUCUAUGGGGCUUCCAAGGCGAUCGGGCAGCAUCAGUCUUCAGCCAUUCAGUGGAGAAGAUCUGGGAAGGAGUCAGUCAGAGAGCCUUGGGCCAGAGUUCCAGGGGCUUUGGGAGUGGCUGCCAGGUGAGUUGAACAAUCCGAUUUUCAACGGGGUCCCACACAGAUGGGACGUGGCUUAGGAGGAAUCCCGGGCUGUGGGCAUUCCUUGGCCCAGUGGCCAGAUUUCCGGCAUGUGUAGCAAGCUCCUGGGGGAGGAGGUUCUGGAGGAAUGCCUGGCUGCUGCGGUUCAGGCGUUUGGAAGUUCUUGUGUGCUGGAGAUGUGGCUGGGGUUUGUCUCUCAGUGGAGGCAAGGAAUUGCAACUUUUUUUUUAUUAUUGUACACCUUGAAGGACUGAAAAUAACAGAACUCAGCACCAUGAUCGGACCGGGACAAUCAGAUUAUUUCAUUCCUCAGCAAACGGAGAUCGAUCCGAAAAGUGGAAAUAUGAGCUCUUCUUUGGUGUUGGCAUAUGGACCCUGAGAGAAAGAACUUUAAUUUUUUCUCUUGGACUGCAAUAAAGUAUAGCUGCCUAAAAUACUUUUCCUGACACUUGGAGGUUUGUCCACAAUCGGUGAAAUAAAGGCAAGACGUAACACUGGAUGAAAAAAGAAAAUGAACAAAAAAGAAGCAAGUAUACUGAAAAUGGUGCACAUUGUAUCAUGGUGGCAUUGAAUCCAAGUAGAAUUAGCAGAGGUCCUUCCACCCUGUGAUCACCCCCACUGUCUUUCCCAAGCCCAGGAAUCCCUCUUCCCUUUUUUUCCAUUCCACUAAAUUAUUUUGAGUUACUGUUUUAUAAAAUUGCAUAUAAAAAGUGUUGAUUAAUACAGAAUAGUUAAUAAGGUGAUAUUAUGUUUAAGUAAUUAAUAAGAACAAUAAUAGCUAGUAUUUCGCAAUUGCUGUACAUUAGGGGCUUUUCCAGAGGUUUUAUAAAUGUUAAUUUAAUCUUCACAAUAAACUUAUCAAAAGUUCAAGGCAUAGAGAAGUUAAAUAAAUUGCCUGAGUUUUCAAGGGCAGAGCUGUGAUCUGCCCCCAGGUAUUCUGACCCCCAAACUGGCUCUCAACCAUGUUUACACGAUGAAAAGAAGAGGUGACUGUUGUAUCAGCUCUAAAGGCCUCACUUUUGGUGAAAUGGGACCUAAAUUUGAUUGCAUACUUGAUUACUUGCUGUCAAUACUGAAAUUGGCACUUCAUAAUUUUAAUACUAUUGAACUUUCACCAUAACCCUGUCCUAUAAAGUUGACUUGCAAAUGAAGAAACUCUAUCUCUUCAAUAUUAUAAAAUAUAUCCAAGAGUCACAACUAGUGAGAAAAGGACAGGAUCUAACUAACAAUGUGAGGCUGUGUCUUCACACCAAUUCAACAGAGUAUCUUGUAAAUGUUGAGAGGAGAGGUACUUUAGGUCAUGGGUGUCUUUCAAUAAGUGCUUUAGAAAACAGGUGACAACUGAUUGGGCCUUGAGGUAUGAAUGGAUUUAGCCAGGCAAUUAAAUAGGAAAGCAGAUACUCAAGACAGAUUAAAACAGCUUGAGAGAAGUGAAAUGAGCAAGUGUAAGACAAUUGAUACUGUCCAUGGAUUUUAGAAAGUGUGAAGUGGAGUGAUUGUGAUGAAGCUUGAAAGAUUGCCUGGGGCCAGGCUGUUGAAGGCUUGGUUUGCUUAGAUAAGUCAAAUGCAGUAGACAAUGGAUAGUCAUCACAGAUUUUUGUACAUGGGACUUCACAUACAUUAAUUGAAUAUCCAUCAUGUACAAAAUAUUGCUCAAGCAAUGUAGGGAUCAAGGGAAUAAAAGCUUAUUCUGAUAUUAUAGAGCAUAUAACAGCCAUGUAAAUAUGCAUGGUAUAGAGAAAUCAGUUCUAUGAUGGAUGUACCAGCAAAGUUGCAGAGCAUUAUAUAGAGUUGCUUUUGAUAUGAGCCCUAGAAUAAAUUGGGAUAGAGAGGGAGUUGGGGGGAAUUUGAGAUAGUUUUUCAAAGAAAAUAAAAUAUGGGGACAAAAACAAUAGAUAACAAUCAGUGAUAAGCUAUAUUUUGAGUUUUAAAAUUGUUUUUACAAUUACCCCUGUUUUGAGUAUAUAUCUUGUCAAAUCAUUCUAAUAAAUAUUUGCUGAUAACUGUGUGGAAUACAUAAAUAAAUGGUAGGUAGAAAUUUGGAAGAAUCACUACAUAUUUUCAGUUAUCAUUCUCUGUGUAAAUUCAUGCUUUAAAAAUAUGAGAAGAUAAAGUGCCUUGGAUAUUAUUUUAUUUUCUAUAUUUUGUCCCAUAUUGUAUUGUCUAAUUUUCAUUGAAACCACAUAACAUGCUUGAAUAGGCAUGUGGUAACUUCUCA
This 5751-nucleotide long non-coding RNA is filed under the name Homo sapiens (human). RNAcentral's name for it is "HSALNT0205240". The record is from RNAcentral. Lineage: Eukaryota; Metazoa; Chordata; Mammalia; Primates; Hominidae.